Molecule: non-coding RNA, 397 nt
Organism: Sinocyclocheilus rhinocerous
Lineage: Eukaryota; Metazoa; Chordata; Actinopteri; Cypriniformes; Cyprinidae
Source: the annotation of a RefSeq genome assembly
CUGACAUACACAGAUAAGAAACAAUGAUUUCUCUUAUACUAAUGCUGGGGACACUGGGUCUGCUUGCUCAAGUGUCUCAUGAAGAGGUUCAGUCUCCUGAGUCUCUGUCUGUUAAAGCAGGAGAUUCUGCUUCUAUCAGCUGCACUGGGACCAGUGGAGUUGAUGAUGACAUGAGCUGGUAUCUGCUGAAACCUGGAGAAGCUCCUAAACUCCUGCUCUAUAAAGCAAAUCGACUUCAUUCUGGAGUCCCAGAUCGGUUCAGUGGAAGUCAGAAUGGACUUCAUUUUACACUGAAUCUAAGUGGAGUCCAAACUGAGGAUGCAGGAGAUUAUUACUGUAUGGGGGCUUACAGUGGUGGAGUGUGCACACAGUGAAAGAGCUUCAUACAAAAACCUCC